This is a long non-coding RNA of Apis cerana (Asiatic honeybee), 1618 nucleotides long. RefSeq lists it as uncharacterized. The record is from RefSeq and is a predicted model, not a curated record. NCBI's taxonomy places the organism in Eukaryota, Metazoa, Arthropoda, Insecta, Hymenoptera, Apidae.
UUUUAAUUAUUAGGUAACACGAAUUACAAUAUCUGUUGCAUAUAGCUUAGAUAUCACUUAGUUGUUAACCAUGUUUACGACUCUUGAAAAAAAGAAAAAAUACUCUGUAUUUAAACAAAUACAUUUAACGCGAAGAAUUUUUUAAAAUAACAACACGGAUUGUUCAAAUUACUUUUACAAUAAUUUUACGUAAAAAAAAAUAAUCCUUGUAACGAAAAUACUGGUGUUCCCCUUUUAACGUGUAGUACGAUUUCGACCACUUAACCUCAAAUCGAUCGUGCAAGUAUCGUGCGCGAGACGUGGACGUGUGUGAAACGUAGGAAAAAUGGACGCACGUUAAUUGACGUGAAACGGGAAGUGAAAAGAUCGUUUCCCUUCUAUUUAGCCGCGGAGAACCGCGAUUCAUAGGCAUCAAGAAACGACUCGCGGUUUAACGUGACAUCUGGCGCGAGACCGAGCGAAAUGUCAGCCCGAUGAAUUUGCAUCUCCUAAAUGCCACUGCGUGAAAUCGGUCUCGCGAAAUUCCUCGCUCGAUCGAAACUUGCUUCUUCUUUUUCUUUUUCUUUUCUUUUGCUUUCUUUUUUUAACUCGAUAGUAAAAUUUUAUUUCGAAACAACUACUGACAAGAAAAAUUAACGUCCACGACUGUUAUCGCUUUUUACAUAAUACUUCGGUUGAGGCUAGGUUAGGUUUUCUAGAUUAAUUAAGAAGGGAACUUAACUGGCCACUUUGGACGGUUGUCGUUUUUAACGCGCGUUAGGUUAGGUUAGCUUCAAUAUGAAUUCGAUGUGUACAUAAACAAACAUAUUUAGACUCUUUCAACUGUUCGCUGUUGAACGUUAACCCAACAAUUGAAAAAAAAAAAGGAAAAGGAACGACCUCGACCGAUUCACUAAACUACGACACACGAUUCGUGCGAUACGAUCCUGAUAAAAAUUGAAGUCGAUUCUUUUCAAGGGUCAACGAAUCCCGACAAGGUAAAAGCAGAAACGAGACGUGCAAUGGAAGCAAGCAUGGCUGUCGCGUCCCUCUUGAAAAGAAACGCGUAUACGAACAUGGAUAUUCAGCGGACAUCGUGCGUUCUUUCAUCUCUCUUUCUCUUUCUCUCUUUCUCCCUCUUAGACCGAGUUCUCGAGGAUGGAGGGGAAAAAAACGAAAGAAAAAACGGAGGAAAAAGAUGAACGAUAAUCCUCGAGUUCUCCUCGCUAUUCCAAAGGAAUAUUAAACGGAGACAGAGCUAAUGGAAGUCGAGAACUUAGGCGAAUGUCUAUAAUGCUUUCUAAAACUGUUAUUUAUCGCGACACACGUAUCUCGUUUUGGAUUUAUCGUACAAUGUUUAUCUCGGCUUCGACUGGUCAUCGACGAACACGCGAAUAGCUCGACUUUGGUCGCAACCAGUCCCUUUUGUGAUCUUGAAUUUUCUUGAGAAAAUUUAUCCUUCCUUUUUCUUAUUCGAUCUCGAUACGAAAGGUUCUUUUGCGAAAUUUUGUUUCUAAAGAACAAUUUGGCUAUUUGAAUUAUCCAAUUCUAUAAUAAAUACCGAGAAUUUGUGACAAAUAAGAAUGGUAAAAAUAAAACUAUCCGUAUUAUUUUAAUAAAAUAUACGUUCGCUUAAAAA